RNAcentral lists this ribosomal RNA (109 nucleotides) under Alligator mississippiensis (American alligator). The record is from RNAcentral. Lineage: Eukaryota; Metazoa; Chordata; Crocodylia; Alligatoridae.
GCCUGUGGCCAGACCAGACUGAUUGCAUCUGCUCUCAGAAGGUAAACAAGCCCGGGCCUGGUUAGUACCUGGAUUGGAGACCACCUUGGAAUACCGGGUGCCGUAGGCC